Molecule: ribosomal RNA, 447 nt
Filed under: uncultured bacterium
Lineage: Bacteria
Description: bacterial SSU rRNA
Rfam family: Bacterial small subunit ribosomal RNA
Source: RNAcentral
UGGGGAAUCUUGGACAAUGGGCGCAAGCCUGAUCCAGCCAUGCCGCGUGAGUGACGAAGGUCUUCGGAUUGUAAAGCUCUUUUAGCAGGGAAGAUAAUGACGGUACCUGCAGAAUAAGCCCCGGCUAACUUCGUGCCAGCAGCCGCGGUAAUACGAAGGGGGCUAGCGUUGUUCGGAAUUACUGGGCGUAAAGCGCACGUAGGCGGAUUGAUAAGUUAGAGGUGAAAUCCCGGGGCUCAACCUCGGAACUGCCUUUGAUACUGUUAGUCUCGAGUCCGAUAGAGGUGAGUGGAAUUCCUAGUGUAGAGGUGAAAUUCGUAGAUAUUAGGAAGAACACCAGUGGCGAAGGCGGCUCACUGGAUCGGUACUGACGCUGAGGUGCGAAAGCGUGGGGAGCAAACAGGAUUAGAUACCCCUGUAGUCCCUGAGCGGGCUGGCAAGGCGCAU